This 296-nucleotide unclassified non-coding RNA is filed under the name uncultured Helotiales. RNAcentral's name for it is "sequence contains ITS1". The stretch from base 1 to 105 matches the Rfam family "5.8S ribosomal RNA", at positions 50 to 154 of the family's 154-position model. Lineage: Eukaryota; Fungi; Ascomycota; Leotiomycetes; Helotiales. The record is from RNAcentral.
GAAAUGCGAUAAGUAAUGUGAAUUGCAGAAUUCAGUGAAUCAUCGAAUCUUUGAACGCACAUUGCGCCCCCUGGCAUCCCGGGGGGCAUGCCUGUUCGAGCGUCAUGACAACCACUCAAGCCUCGGCUUGGUCUUGGGGUGCGCGGUCCCGCGGCUCCUAAAACCAGUGGCAGUGCCCGUCGGCUCUACGCGUAGUACAUACCCCUCGCGACUGAGUCCGGCCGGGCCACCUGCCAGCAACCCCCGACCUUUACAGGGUUGACCUCGGAUCAGGUAGGGAUACCCGCUGAACUUAA